UAGAGUUUAGAUAUUGGAUUACAAAAACUACAAGAAUCGUUUCAAAAGCAUUGAGAAAAGUGUAGCUCCAGGUUAUUAUUUUGGUCUAGAAAGACUGCGAUCUAUAAAUAUUAGGCUGUGACAGCCUGCCAGAACUUCUCUUGCAGCACCUACUGAUUGGAGUUUUUCUAAAGAAGCUUCACAAAAGCAGAAGCAGCAGAAGACGGAGUCACCCUACAGGUGCACGCUGCGGCAGUUCUCUCUUCAGUCUUCCCAACAGGAUUUCUGAGACUCUGUACCUCAACAUCUUUAUUGCCAAAUGAGAGCCUUAAAGAACGGGGAGAGGAAGAAAACAAUGACCCACAAGUCUCCAGCUUGCCUUUUCAGACAAACACCUCCUGCUUUUUCAUCCAUUUGAGGAACACUGCAACAGGGCAGAACACAGCUGUGAAGGCGUUUUCACCUCUUAGCGGCUCAGCAAUGGCAGCGACAACUGAAAGUCUAAGGGCAGUGCUACUGGUGACAGGUAUUUAAAACAACACUCUUUAAAAAUUACCCCCCUGCCUUCAUUUUGUUGUUUCCCUGUCCAUCAUCUAAGAAACAAACACACUGUGUCUGGUUUUAUUAAUGCUAAUGUACUCAGAAAAACGACGCCCGCGAGAGGGGAGAGCCCCGUGCCUGGGAGAACCCCACCGCAUUCGGCCUUCGGAAGGCACGGGCCUACCCCGGCACGGCCCCGAGCGAUUCCGCUGCUCCUGAGCUGAGAAAGCUCCUCUCUUCUUCCUGCCCACGUGCCGCUCCCCACCCAAGCCCCCUUCUCGGAGCAGCCUUCCAUCAGCCUCGUGCCCCCAUCGGAGCACUUCAUCACGCC
Molecule: long non-coding RNA, 850 nt
Filed under: Gallus gallus (chicken)
Lineage: Eukaryota; Metazoa; Chordata; Aves; Galliformes; Phasianidae
Description: long non-coding RNA NONGGAT003305
Source: RNAcentral